RNAcentral lists this long non-coding RNA (3534 nucleotides) under Homo sapiens (human). RNAcentral describes it as "HSALNT0128692". The record is from RNAcentral. Lineage: Eukaryota; Metazoa; Chordata; Mammalia; Primates; Hominidae.
UUCAAGAUGGCAAGAAUUACAACCUCUAAAUAACUUUUGUUAAGAAAAAGGUAAAAAUGAAAAUUAUAAAUGAUUUAUAACUGAAUAAAAAUGAGAGCACUACAUAACUUAUAGGAGGUAGCCAAAGUUGUACUCAGAGAAAAAGUUAUUACCUUCAGGCUAUGUGCAUAAGGUGUAUAUGAAAAAAAAUGAAUUUCAUAUUUAGACUUGGGUCCCAUCCCCAAGAUAGCUCCUUUUGUGUAUGCAGAUAUUCCAAAAUCCAAAAACGUCUGAAAUCAGAAACACUUCGGGUCCCAAGCAUUUUGGAUAAAUGAUAUUCAACCUGUACCUACAAAAUCUUAAGUGAGAUUGAUACAAUUAGAUCUAUUCAAAAGAAAGCCAGAAUUAGCAAUGUUAAUAUCAACCAAAAUGGAUUUUAAGAUGGCAAGAAUUACAAUCUCUAAAUAACUUUUGUUAAGAAAAAGGCAAAAAUGAAAAUUGUAAAUGAUUUAUAACUGAAUAAAAAUGAGAGCACUACAUAACUUGCAGGAGGUAGCCAAAAUUGUACUCAGAGAGAAAGUUAGUCUUAAUACAUUUAUGAGAAAAUCAGAAAGACUGAAAAGAAAUAAGCUGUGCUUUUAAAUUAAGAAGCUAGAAAAAGAACAACGUAAUGAAAAAAGUAGAAAGAAUAAUGAUAAAAGCAAGAUUUAAGGAAAGAAAAACAGUAGAAGAGUUGCUGAACAAAAAUAAAACAUGGUUCUUUAAAACAUUAUCAAUGCAGACAAACCUUGGAUAAGUAAAAUAAAGAGAAAAAUGAGAAGGCUGAACAAACAGCAUCGGGAAUCAAAAAUGAUUAUAUCCACAGACAAAAGUGACUAGUAAAAUAUAAAGAAUCUAUAAUUUUCUACUAAUAAAUGUGAAAACCUACACAAAAAUAAAUUUAAAAAUAGACUCAAGAAGAAGUAAAAUACCUGAAUAAGCUAAGAAACAUGGAAAAAUCCGAAAUUGUGGUCAGUGACCAAAUUCGAAAAGUACCUGCAAUAGACAGACUGCUUUUGUCUCUCCGAAAAUUCGUAUGUUGAAAUCUGAACCCCCAACAUGAUGGUAUUAAGAGGGGGACCUGGGCCAGGUGCAGUGGCUCACACCUGUAAUCCCAGCACUUUGGGAGGCUGACUCAGGUGGAUCACCUGAGGUCAGGAGUUCAAGACUAGCCUGAUCAACAUGGAUAAACCCCGUCUCUACUAAAAAUACAAAAUUAGCUGGGCAUGGUGGCACAUGCCUGUAAUCCUAGCUACUCAGGAGGCUGAGGCAGGAGAAUCACUUGAACCUGGGGGGCGGAGGUUGCAGUGAGCCAGAUCACACCAUUGCACUCCAGCCUGGCAACAAGAGCAAAACUCCGUCUCAAAAAAGAAAAAAAAAAAAAAAAAAAAAAAGAAGGGGGCCUUUGGGAAGUAAUUAAGUCACAGGAGUGGAGCUCUCAUGAAUGGCAUUAGAUAUCCCAGAGAACUAGCUUCUUCCGUCCACCAUGUGAGAAGCUAGUUUGCUUCUAUUCCACCUCAUAGAAGGUGCUAUUUAUGAGGAAGCAGACCCUUCAUCUACUGGUGCCUCGAUCUUGGACUUCCCAGCCUCUAGAAUGAUGAGAAAUAAAUUUCUGUUGUUUAUAAGCUACCCAGUUUAUGGUAUUUUAUAAUAGCUGCCCAACUAAGACAGUACCAGACCCAGAGGGUAUAUUAAGGUGAGUUCUAUGAAGCUUUUUUAUUUAUUUAUUUAUCUAUUGAUUUAUUUUAGAUUAAAAAAAUAUUUUUAGAGAUGGGUUCUUGCUUUGUUGCCCAGAGUGGGAUUGAACUCCUAGGCUCCAAUGAUUCUCCUGCCUCAGCCUCCCAAAGUGCUGGGAUUACAGGUGUGAGCCACCACACCUGGCCUAUUUAUUUAUUUUAGAGGCAGGGUCUUGCUCUGUUGCCCAGGCUGGUCUUGAACUCCCGGCCCCUCAAGCAAUCCUCCUGCCUUGGUCUCUCAAAGUGUUGCAAUCAUAGUUGUGAGCCACUAUGCCUGGCCCCAACUUUUAAAUUAUUACAUAAUACUCAUUUUGGAUAAACUUCCAGUUUAUACAGAAAAGAGAUGGGAAAGUCUUAAUCUAAUUUUCUGAUAAUAGGAUCACUGUGAUCCUGAAAGUCGACAUGGACAGCACAAGAGGGAAAACUACAGCCACUUCCACUUAUACACACAAAUACAGAAUUACUAAUCAAUCAAUGACCAAGUAGGGUUGUUCCAGAAGAAUAUGCAAGAAAAGAGUUGAAUAAAUAGAAACGAUACCAUGUUCAUGGAUGGGAAGGCUCCAUUAUAGGUCUUGUACAUUUUUUAUUAGGUUCUUUUUCGAGUUUAUAUUGCUGUUAAGAUGCUGUGCCCGGCCGGGCCCGGUGGGUUGUUCUUAACACAUGCAAAUAGCCCCUGGCCACAGAACCAGGAGGAAAUUGCUGGGUGAUGGGGCAUGGCCACUGUCAACUCCACAAGCUAAGGCCACAGCAUUUGUACAUACAUCAAUUACAUCAAUUAGGUCUUUCUAUCACCAACAUCUGUUCUCAGUAUACUGUGAGCCCCACGAGGCCAAAGAUAACUCUCCCUUUUUCUCCCAGCCCUUAGAACAGUGCCUGGAGCAGCUCAGGAAAUGCUAAAUGCCUGAAUGUUCAGGGGCUAUGGAUGGCUCAGGGCAGACUCAUUCCCAUCCUGGGGAAAGAAACCUCAAAGAUGUUGCUGCUGGCAGAGCCACAGGAGCAGCCCCAUUUUUGCAUGUGCUGGUUCCUGCAAUGGAUCUGCAGAAAUCCAGGGCACUGUCAACAUGCAGUGGUUAGAAAUAUCUGCCUGCUUGAGGGCUCUGGGCCCGUGACAGGAGUCACUCCUCCGCCCUGUGCAACGACACCCUAGCCUCCUUUGUCUGAACUGGGACCCCAGCUCACCCUGCAGGCCCCCGAGGGCCAGGCCUGCUGGGAUGGAUACCCUCCAAGGCGAAAGCCAUGACGGAGAGAAAAAUCAUAGGCCUGGGGCCGGGAGAUCUGUUUUCUAUUCCUGGCCCUGCCAUUAAUAAACUGGGUGACCUUGGGCAAGUCACUUUGUCUCCCUUCUCAUCCUAUAAAAUGAGUUUGGACAGUGAUAGCCAAUUCUUGAACUUGAGAACUCAUCAGAAUCGCCUAGGAAACUUGUUAAAGUGGAUCCCCAGGCCCCACCCCACGGGGAUUGGGGUAGUAGGUCUGGAGUGGCACUUAGAUACAUGUAUAUUUACAUGACAAUGAAUUUAAAAAGACCACUGAAAACACUCACAAAUGGUUAGAAAAUUCAAUAGUAGAGAUUAUAAUAAAAAGCAGCGCUUCCCAUCCCUAGUGUGCUACCUACAGGCAACCACUUUUAAUCAUGUUUUUGAUCUGAUGGUUACUAUCUUAUUGCUAAAUAAUAAGCUAGUUCUUGUUUUAUCAACUUCAGACAUUACCCAUUGUCUUCCUGCUAUGACAGAUGAGGAGGACUCAGCUCACUUACCCCCCCACCACUCCUAAUAUAGUUCUG